RNAcentral lists this unclassified non-coding RNA (187 nucleotides) under fungal sp. RNAcentral's name for it is "partial internal transcribed spacer region". The stretch from base 1 to 46 matches the Rfam family "Eukaryotic small subunit ribosomal RNA", at positions 1786 to 1831 of the family's 1831-position model. The record is from RNAcentral. Lineage: Eukaryota; Fungi.
AAGUCGUAACAAGGUUUCCGUAGGUGAACCUGCGGAAGGAUCAUUUUGAGGGCAACUCUGCUCCGCAGAGUUGGUUACUACUCAUGCACCUGUGAACGCAGCACGGCUGCACAUUUGCGUAUGCUUGUGGAUAUUAUCAUAAAUAGAAUGAACAAUACAACCUUUAGCAAUGGAUCUCUUGGCUUCU